GCCCGGUUGGCUCAGUCGGUAGAGCGUGUGACUCUUAAGUGCCUGGUAACAGGUGCAUGAGGGAUCUCAAGGUCGCGAGUUCGAGCCUCGCAUUGGGCU
This 99-nucleotide transfer RNA is filed under the name Terfezia boudieri ATCC MYA-4762. It matches the Rfam family "tRNA". Rfam says of the family: Transfer RNA (tRNA) molecules are approximately 80 nucleotides in length. Their secondary structure includes four short double-helical elements and three loops (D, anti-codon, and T loops). Further hydrogen bonds mediate the characteristic L-shaped molecular structure. tRNAs have two regions of fundamental functional importance: the anti-codon, which is responsible for specific mRNA codon recognition, and the 3' end, to which the tRNAs corresponding amino acid is attached (by aminoacyl-tRNA synthetases). tRNAs cope with the degeneracy of the genetic code in two manners: having more than one tRNA (with a specific anti-codon) for a particular amino acid; and 'wobble' base-pairing, i.e. permitting non-standard base-pairing at the 3rd anti-codon position. The record is from Rfam by way of RNAcentral. Lineage: Eukaryota; Fungi; Ascomycota; Pezizomycetes; Pezizales; Pezizaceae.